Molecule: ribosomal RNA, 467 nt
Filed under: uncultured bacterium
Lineage: Bacteria
Description: partial 16S ribosomal RNA
Rfam family: Bacterial small subunit ribosomal RNA
Source: RNAcentral
ACGAACGCUGGCGGCGUGCUUAACACCUGCAAGUCGAACGGAAAGGCCCUGCUUUUGUGGGGUGCUCGAGUGGCGAACGGGUGAGUAACACGUGAGUAACCUGCCCUUGACUUUGGGAUAACUUCAGGAAACUGGGGCUAAUACCGGAUAUGAGCUCCUGCUGCAUGGUGGGGGUUGGAAAGUUUCGGCGGUUGGGGAUGGACUCGCGGCUUAUCAGCUUGUUGGUGGGGUAGUGGCUUACCAAGGCUUUGACGGGUAGCCGGCCUGAGAGGGUGACCGGCCACAUUGGGACUGAGAUACGGCCCAGACUCCUACGGGAGGCAGCAGUGGGGAAUAUUGCACAAUGGGCGGAAGCCUGAUGCAGCAACGCCGCGUGCGGGAUGACGGCCUUCGGGUUGUAAACCGCUUUCGCCUGUGACGAAGCGUGAGUGACGGUAAUGGGUAAAGAAGCACCGGCUAACUACGUG